ACUCACAAGCUGUGAAAGCAUGACCUGAGCUGAAGUCGGACGCUCUAUGGACUGAGCCACCCAGGUGCCCUGAGUACAACUUUAUUUUUGUUUAUUGUUUUAGGAGUAUGUCAUGCUGUUGACUCUUGCUAAAUUUACGGUCGAGAGAAAGCCCUAGAUCUUUCACAAAUUAAAUGCUGUCAACAUCAAAUAUCUUUCAAUCCUGCAAGUUAUCCAAUUAUUUUAAAACUAAAUGUCCUUGUUCCAGUUUAAUAUUGUAUUUGGAAAUACAGUGAGUUUUCAGCAGACACUCCUAGCUCUGAGAGCCAUAGACUCUCUGUCUUCAUAGAAUUUACUCACAACUUUUACAAGGACAGGGCUAAGGACAGGUCCACCAGAGAUUGCUUUCAAGUUUGACAUCGGUUGGCCCGUUGGCAUUCUUUGAGUGUGAUUUUUCAUGAAACUGGGAGUUAAUUUAACAACAGAAAUUUGCUACACGAGCGUGAGUUUUGGAGGCAGAUAAUGUAUUCGCUGUAACAAGGGUUUCACAACUUGAUUGUGCCACUUACUGGGUAUUUGACCUCAAAGAAUUUACAUGCUCUUCCUCAGCCUUGGACUUUCUCAUCUACCAAAUAAAACAUUAAACGGAGGCUUGUGACGUCCACAUGAGGUCACAGGUAAGCUCCAGGCACACAGUAGGGAAGUGAGCGACCCUCUCUUCCUGCCCUUCCCCUAACCAAGCCCCGUACCCCACCGUAUUUCUUCAUCAUGUCUCUGUGCCGACUCGUCUGAAAUCAAGGUUUCUGCGUGCAUGGCGUGACCCGGUGUGCUGGUCUCUUAUUUCCAGUGAUUCUCUCGGGUUAAAAAGAACAUAGUCCCGAUGAUUACUGAGAGUCUCAUGGUGACUUUUAUGUUGCGAUGUUUUCUUCAAAAAGGCUAGCUGAUCUCUCCCGUCGUCAUGGCUACACCUCGAGGUAUCGAUUUAUCCCGAGAGAUCCAAGGCUCCGACAGGGACUGGCAAAGCGUCUAUACUAUGGCACAAAGUGGGAGAAGGGACACUAUCCAACCUCAAGACUUAAUACAGAGCUACAGUCAUCAGGAGAUGUGGUGUUGGUGAGACUAUGGACAAACAGGUCAGGGGGACAGAACACUGAGCCCAGAAACACAUCCACUCAUUUAAGGCGACUGAUCUCUGACCAAGGAGCAAAGGCAAUACAAUGGGGCGAAGGCAGUGUCUCCUGCUCUGUUUUCAACAAAUGGUGUAGGGUCAACUGGACGCCCACAUGCAGAAAAAUGUAUUUAAACACAGAUCUUACCUCCUUCACGAACAUUAACUCGAAAGAGAACACAGACCCAAAUGUGAAAUGCAAAACCGUAAAACUGUUAGAAGAUAACCUACAGAAAUCCUGGAAGAUUUGGGGUGUGGUGAUGACGUUUCAGAUGUAAGGGAGAAGGCGUGAUCCAUGAAAGAAAUACGUGAUAAGCUGCACUUCAUUAAAAUUAAAUUAUUCUGCUCUGCAAAACAAUGUCAAGUGAAUAAUCAGGCGAGUCACAGACUGGGAGGAAAUGCUAGCCAAAGACACAUCCGAGAAAGGACUGUUCUCUACAACACACAAAGAACACUCAAAACUUAGCAAUGAGAGAACAAACACCCUUAAAAAGACCUCAACAGAUCCCUCACCAAAGCAGAUAGACAGAUGGCAGGUAAGCACAUGAAAAGAUGCUCUGCGUCAUAUGUCAUCAGGGAGAUGCGAAGUAAAACGAUAAUGAUAUAUCACUACGUAUCUAUUGGAACGGUCAAAACCCAAAACGCUGACAACACCAAAUGCUGGCGAGCACGUGUAGCACGGGAGCUCCCAUCCAUCGCUGCUGGGGACGCGGCACGGUCCCGCCAGUUUGAAAGACAGCUUGGCGACACUGUGCAAAACCAAACACACUCUUAUCAUAUGUUCCGGCAACCUCACUCCUUGGUAUUUACAAAAAGGAGUUGAAAACUUAAGUCCAUGCACAAAGCUGCACAUGGAUGUGUAGAGCAGCUGUGUUCAUAAUUGCCAGAACUCGGAGGCUACCAAGAUGUCCUUCGGUUGGUGAAUGGAUGAACGAACCGUGGUCCUUCCAGACAAUGGAAUCUUAUUCAGCACUAAACAGAAAUGAGCUACACGCCAUGAGAGGACACAGAGGAAACUUGAAUGCACUUGACUAAGUGAUAGAAGCCAGUCCGAAAAGGCUACAAGCUGUAAGAUUCCCAGUCCGUGUCAUUAUGAAAAAGGCAAGCCUGCGGAGUCUAUAGAAAGGGUACACAGCAGGAGGCCGGUGGAGUGUGAAUUAGAACCCAAUUCUGCAUCGUGCCGGAACACACGCUCCUUCUAGUGCCCAAGCCUCUGCUCCCUGGGGGUUGCAGGAGUGGCUUGGGGAAAAGGAAACAGCUCUCGGCCCUGUGUGACCAUCACCGACCAGAUCUCCUUGGUUUAAAAUCCGUCCUCAGCCUCCACUUUUGGCAGUAAAUUGGGUAUCAGAGGUAUGCAUUAUUGAAUUUCAUGUUCUCAAUGUUUAAUUCUCCAAGUGUCACGUAAUUAGCCAUUUGUAACGUAAAUUGUUUUCAUUACUUACACAAAUUGAUUGCAUUAGUGCUCCGGAUUGGUGAGUGGCAUUAACGCGUCAUAAAUACAAACCAUCCCGCAGCAGGAAAGUCAGUUAGAACUCAGGUAGCCCCGGUCCCUGAGCUGAGCACUUGACAGAGUCAAGUCAGGGCUCCCAGAACAACACCCGUAGCCUGUGUGGGAGGGGACAGCGACUCUGUCCUUCCCCUGAUGGGCCAGUGGGGCGCCUGGUGGUGGCGGAGAGGAGAGCACUUCCUAUUACAGCAGGACCACCCCUUCUGCGCCGGGGAACCCAGUGAUGCUCACAGUUACCGUGUCGAUCACCUUCCAGAACGGACACACGUUCUCUUAUUUUCAUUUAAUCCUCUGAUCCGGCCGUGAAGCGCACUGACUCAUGGAGUGGCCUGGUAACUAGGACACACGGGAGGGCAGUGGCGGAGCCCAGAUUCAAGCCCAGGUAGACGUGCCGCCCCGGUGGGUCCCCGGCCAGGACAGCUGUUCCGAAAUCGCCCGGAGCUGCCCACCUGCUCCUGACCUUUUGUCCCGAACGCCUCUGCCCCGAGGUGCAAAAGAGGAUUCCUGUAACCGGACAGCCCGGCUGUGACGCUCGGGAGCCGCCGUGAUGACUCAGCCCCCACCUGCCCUGACGGUAAGGACCUGCGGGGCGGUCGGGAGCCCAGCCGCUGCGCUAAAGCUCGUGGUGCUCACACUGUGCCCGGUGAGCAGGGCCGUGCCGGGAGCGCUGGGGACCAGGAAGGAGGAAGGACAAAGCACCACUUCCAGGCCCGGCCUCCACAACCUCAUCCGCUUGUCACGCGGUGUGGACAGAGAGGGAAGCCCCUGCUUUCUGGGGGCGUCCCUGGGUUCAGAGCAUCACCAUCCUUCCCGCCCCGAGUUCGAGCCUCCGCCAGCGGAGUCAUGUGCGAGUCCUGGCCACGCACCCAGCCUUCCUGGCAAGACCUCUCUGCCGGCCCCUCCCGUCCUCGCCUACUCGCUGCUGCACUGUUUGGGGCAAGUCGGGGUCGUCUGAUCAGACCUGAUGCUCCUGUUUAUGAGCCACCGAGGAAGCUGUGGGCACCCGGGUCAUCUCUCACCCCAUGACCCAGGACUUUUGGAACCCAGGAGCAGGGCUGGCUCCCUGGACCCCUCUCAUGGGCACGGCGCCCCGUGUGGUCCUCGUUGGGGGUCACACACACGACAAGGCACACAACGGGGCCCUGCGCACACAAUGAACUUUAACGCCCUGAGGCUGCCAUCUUGAACUUCUCAAUGACUCCUGGCGAGUGGCCUGCAUUUUCCUUUCGCACCGCGAACCGGGAGGCCAGCUCUUUGCGGACCCUCGGCUCUGAACCCCCUUACAACCUCCCUCCUCCCCCAGCUUCCCACAUCUCCCGGAUGUGCCUUCUGGAGCCCAUAACCAUCUCCAAAAUCUCGGAUAGCUUCGCCUUGUCUCUAGAUAUUUUCUUCACUUUCUUCUCAUCCGCACAGAAGACCUUGAAGAAAGCCCUGCUUCCCUCCACCCUGCUCGGCUCAUUUCCCUUCCAGGCUCUUCUCUUGCUUGCUUGGAAGAGUAGCCACUCCCUGUCUCCGCCCGCCUGUCCCCAGGAGUGUGGCUCUCAGAAAGCAAGCCACUGGCUUCAGGUGGGUCCUUCGUGCUGCCUGGCAAGGCAGCCCACCUUUCCUUAGGACGCUUGCUUUCCUUCUCCACCGAUGGCUCUUCGCCAGCCCCUUCCCUCCCCAGCUCUAGCUGGCUCACUGUCAGCUGUGCACGCAAUGACAAGACAGCCGGCGGAGGGGGGCUUGCUUAGCCUUAGCCUUAACCGCUGGCACCGGUGUCCUCGCUCCCUGCCUUCCCACAGUGGAUGACGCUGCUGUCAGCAUGAGCCCCCUCUCCUGGGCACCUCGCCCCACCUUCUAGUCCAAUCUUGUCUUUCCUCUGCCGGGUGGAUGCCUCCCUGCCCGCGGAUCUUCCCCUGGGCGUACCAACACGGCAUUGUCUCUCGCAUCCUGGAGUCUCCCUCCGCCCCCCGCCCCUCUCCGGCCCUCCUUGGCUCCUCCCUUCCUUUCAUACUCUGCACGUCCACACUGCUGUCUGUGCUCUCCUUGAGUUCUGUCUCCAUCCCCGAAACUGCGUCUACACCACGGACGCCCUUCAUGCUGCUGGCUCCCGGGUCGGCCCCCAGCCUCCGCUUAGGGGGUUCUUCUUUCCUCCUUGAAACCGUCUCUUCCCCUUGUAUCAAGGGCCCCCUUCUGCUGGCUCUUCUUCAAUGUCACCGCCAUUUACCUCUGGGACCCCGGCCGCCUGCCGCCUCCCAGAAGUCCCAGUGCAGGAGCCCCCAGGACCCACCCAGGUGGUCUCUGCCCUGCAACUUUCUCAGCGUCCCGGCUUUCCCUGCCACUUUGGCUGAGAACAUGCCCUGGGAUCCCACAGCGCACGCCUGCUUACCGAUCCCUCCUCUUGGAUACCCACUGGGCGUCUUCAACGGGUGUCAGUGAAGAACCGCUUAGUUCUUUCAGUGAUCGUGACACACCCUUGUGGUCCGUUCCCUUCCUCCCUGACCCCACAGUCCGCAAGUCAGCAGCCCUCCUGGGUCUGUCUGCUAAAUACACCUGGAACGCGGCCGCCCCACGGGCCGAUCCACACCCCGUGUCUGAGCCGCUUUCCAGGCACCUGCUGUUCCCUCAAGCUGCUUUCCGCCUGGCAGCCAGAGGGAUCCUUUGGAACCAUGCGCUAUCACGUGACGCCUCUGCGGAAAGCCCGAGUCGAGUCACCGGCGUGGCCUGCAGGACCCGGCUGCUCCCACCUCUGACGGCCUCCCGCGAGCAGGAGGCCUGUGCCGGCCGUUCUCGCGCGGGUGUCCGCGGUUGGCCCCGCCCUCCACUCCCGCGUCUGCUGGCUGCUGUCGCCGUGUCCCUCUUUCUCGUUAGUCCCGUUUCCUGUGUGCUCACCACCCGCCGAAGCACUCUGUAGGUUAUCACUUAACGUCCCUCCCCUCGCUGGAAUGUGAGCCAUUCAUAAAGGCAGGGUCUUUAUCUGUUUUCUUCCCCUCUUUAUCCCCUACUGUCUAGAGGAGGGCCUGGUUUAUCAAUAUUUAUUAAAUAAACGAAGAAAAAAAGCACAGCGGCUAUGGGCUAUGCAAGAUGGAUGCCAGGUCCGUGUGCUAAAGUGUAUGUUCUUAGCUCACAGGGAAGCUGCUGGGGCCUGCUGCUCUACUUAAAGGCUUUUAAAUCUUGAACGAGCUCGGUCAUUUGCUUUUCUCCCCGUUGGCGACGAGACUGGAGGGGAGGAGCCGAGUGGGCACAGGUGCCCGGGGAUGCCACACGGACGGCCCGGUGGACAGGUGGAGUUGGUGCCCCAGGAACAUGAGAGCCGAGCAGCGUCACACGCGGGCCGGGGGCCGUGCGCCAACAGCCUGUGCCGGGCCACCCGCGAGCGUGGAGACGGGGCACCGUGAGGAGAGGGGUGGCUGGGCUCCAUGACGGUGAGCUUGAGCUGGGAGCAAAGGAAUACACGUAUUCCAAGUGUUCUCUUUGGGGAGGGAAUCACGUGCAGGAAACGUUCAGAGAGAUUUCCGUCCGUGGUUAAUUUUUCUUAAAGCUUUCGUUCUUAAACAGGCAAACAGGCAUAAUUUGGACAUUCCGCUGAUGGAGAGUGUAACUAACUCCCCCCGAAGCCAGGUGACUUUUUUACUGAAUAGUGUACCAGCCUUACAGGAGUUUUCCAGCCGAGCUGGGGGGACAGAUACAAACCACCAGGGGCGCCUGGGUGGCUCAGUGGGUUGAG
Felis catus (domestic cat) is the source of this 6363-nucleotide long non-coding RNA. RefSeq lists it as uncharacterized. The record is from RefSeq and is a predicted model, not a curated record. Lineage: Eukaryota; Metazoa; Chordata; Mammalia; Carnivora; Felidae. The transcript is spliced from 5 exons.